GUGCCAGCCGCCGCGGUAAUACCGGCAGCUCAAGUGAUGUCCCAUAUUAUUGGGCCUAAAGCGUCCGUAGCUGGCCGACCGAGUCUCCCGGGAAAUCCACCCGCCCAACGGGUGGGCGUCCGGUAGAAACUGGCCGGCUUGGAACCGGAAGGCUCAGAGAGUACGUCCGGGGUAGGAGUGAAAUCCUGUAAUCCUGGACGGACCGCCGAUGGCGAAAGCACGUCGGGAAGACGGAUCCGACGGUGAGGGACGAAAGCCAGGGUCUCCAACCGGAUUAGAAACCCGUGUAGUCC
Molecule: ribosomal RNA, 293 nt
Filed under: uncultured bacterium
Lineage: Bacteria
Description: partial 16S ribosomal RNA
Rfam family: Archaeal small subunit ribosomal RNA
Source: RNAcentral